RNAcentral lists this ribosomal RNA (1026 nucleotides) under Triticum aestivum (bread wheat). RNAcentral describes it as "partial small subunit ribosomal RNA". The record is from RNAcentral. Lineage: Eukaryota; Viridiplantae; Streptophyta; Magnoliopsida; Poales; Poaceae.
AUGGAUGAGUCUACUUUGGGGAGUCUUAGACAUAGAGUGCCUAUACUUGAUGGAGAGUACUUUCAUGAGUGGAAAAAUGAGAUGCUUGUGAUCUUCAAUCAAUAUCAUUUAAACAAGUACAUUGCUAGUCCUUGUGCAUCCCAUGCUGAUCCUAUGCAUCCUACCCUUGAUGAGUCAAUUGACAUGAUUCACAAUCUUAGAACUGUUAAUCUUAUCACUAGAGGCUUGCCUAGAAACUUGAUUGUAAAUUUGCCUACUCUUGAGUGUGCCUACACUAUAUGGAAAUUUCUUGAGGAACAAUUUCCGAAUUAUUCCUUGAAAAAUCUAGAUGAAAUUCUCCAUAAAUCUAUUGCCUUAAGUAAGAUGAAUUCCAAUGAUCCUAUGUUUGGUAACUGUCUAUUUGAACUUACAAACCUUAUGCGUGCCAAAGGAAAUGUUGGAAUCAUUAGUGAUAUUAUCUCUGAAGCUACUAGAAUUCAUAAAGGAAAUCAUUGUCAAACUCAUUCUAAUGAAUCACCUUCUCUAGGAAUCGAUCCACAACAUGACAAUGUUGAACAUGGAUACUAUGAUGAUGAUGAUGAUGACUUUGAUCUUGAUGAUGCAAUGAGACACUUUGGUCUUAUGGCAAAUCUUCGGGGAUAUAUGCCAGGCGGAAAGGAAUGGGUUCUUGAUAGUGGAUGUACCGAUCACAUGACCGGAGAUAAAUACAUGUUUCGUGAGCUUGCUGAAAAUGACUGUCCUCGAAAGUUUGUCACUUUCGAUGACAACUCAAAGGGUAAAGUGGUUGGCCUUGCUAAGGUGGCCAUAUCACAUGAUAGCUCCAUAAAAAAUGUCAUGCUCGUUGAAUCUCUUGGAUACAAUUUACUUUCAGUAUCUAGACUUGCUGAUUUCGGUUUCAAUGUCCUAUUUACUAAAGUAGAUUGCCAAGUGUUUCGUAGAGAUAAUCAUCAAAUGGUCUUCACCGGCAUUCGUAGAGGUGAUCUAUAUAUUGUUGAUUUCACUAAAAAGGCUCAACCUAGAACUUGA